GGGGAAUUUUCCGCAAUGGGCGAAAGCCUGACGGAGCAAGACCGCGUGAGGGAGGAAGGCUCUUGGGUUGUAAACCUCUUUUCUCAGGGAGAAAAAAAAUGACGGUACCUGAGGAAUAAGCAUCGGCUAACUCCGUGCCAGCAGCCGCGGUAAUACGGAGGAUGCAAGCGUUAUCCGGGAAUUAUUGGGCGUAAAGCCUUCCGCAGGUGGCACAUCAAGUGUGCUGUCAAAGACCCGGGGCUUAACCCUGGAAAGGCAGUGGAAACUGAAGUGCUAGAGUGCAGGAGGGGUAGAGGGAAUUCCCGGUGUAGCGGUGAAAUGCGUAGAUAUCGGGAAGAACAUCGGUGGCGAAGGCGCUCUACUGGACUGCAACUGACACUCACAGGACGAAAGCUAGGGGAGCGAAUGGGAUUAGAUACCCCAGUAGUCCUAGCUGUAAACGAUGGAUACUAGGUGUGGCUUGUAUCGACCCGAGCCGUGCCGUAGCUAACGCGUUAAGUAUCCCGCCUGGGGAGUACGCGCGCAAGCGUGAAACUCAAAGGAAUUGACGGGGGCCCGCACAAGCGGUGGAGUAUGUGGUUUAAUUNGAUGCAACGCGAAGAACCUUACCAGGGCUUGACAUGUCCGGAAUCCCAGGGAAACUUGGGAGUGCCUUCGGGAACCGGAA
RNAcentral lists this ribosomal RNA (667 nucleotides) under Kastovskya adunca ATA3-5Q-CV13. RNAcentral's name for it is "bacterial SSU rRNA". It matches the Rfam family "Bacterial small subunit ribosomal RNA", at positions 356 to 1032 of the family's 1533-position model. Lineage: Bacteria; Bacillati; Cyanobacteriota; Cyanophyceae; Coleofasciculales; Coleofasciculaceae. The record is from RNAcentral.